GCCGUUGUGGUGGAAUUGGCAGACACCCGGGACUUAAAAUCCCGUGGGAGCGAUCCCGUACCGGUUCAAGUCCGGUCAACGGCACCA
This 87-nucleotide transfer RNA is filed under the name Oscillospiraceae bacterium. RNAcentral describes it as "tRNA-Leu". It matches the Rfam family "tRNA". From Rfam's summary of the family: Transfer RNA (tRNA) molecules are approximately 80 nucleotides in length. The record is from RNAcentral. Lineage: Bacteria; Bacillati; Bacillota; Clostridia; Eubacteriales; Oscillospiraceae.